This 457-nucleotide ribosomal RNA is filed under the name Mantidactylus melanopleura. RNAcentral describes it as "partial 16S ribosomal RNA". The stretch from base 1 to 390 matches the Rfam family "Bacterial large subunit ribosomal RNA", at positions 720 to 1300 of the family's 2925-position model. Lineage: Eukaryota; Metazoa; Chordata; Amphibia; Anura; Mantellidae. The record is from RNAcentral.
ACUAAGUGAGCUACUUCGAGGCAGUUUUAAGAACGACCCCAUCUCUGUUGCAAAAGAGUGGGAUGACCUCCAAGUAGGGGCGACAAACCUACCGCACUUAGAGAUAGCUGGUUACUCAAGAAAAGAAUUUAAGUUCAACCUAAAGUUUUCUAAUUACACAAAAAUACAAUAAAACUUUAGAGCUACUCAAAUAAGGCACAGCUUAUUUGAAAUAGGACCCAACCUACAACAUCGGGUAAUAUAAACAAGCAAGUAACAAGUGGGCCUAAGAGCAGCCACCUACAAAAAGCGUUAAAGCUUAAUACUUAAACUGUAUUAAUACCACCACUACCCUAGAACCCCCCACCAAUAUUGAGUAAUUCCAUAAACAUAUGGAAGCUAUUAUGCUAGAAUGAGUAACAAGAAAUAGCUUUUCUCCUAAAUGUAAGCUUAAGCCAUAAUAGACCAACUACCGGCA